RNAcentral lists this ribosomal RNA (527 nucleotides) under uncultured bacterium. RNAcentral's name for it is "bacterial SSU rRNA". It matches the Rfam family "Bacterial small subunit ribosomal RNA", at positions 770 to 1290 of the family's 1533-position model. The record is from RNAcentral.
ACCCAAUAGAUACCCUGGUAGUCCACGCCCUAAACGAUGUGCACUAGACUGGAGCGGCUCUGACGUCGUUCUGGUCGUAGAGAAAUUGUUAAGUGCACCGCCUGGGUAGUACGGUCGCAAGGCUAAAACUCAAAGGAAUUGACGGGGGCUCACACAAGCGGUGGAGCAUGUUGCUUAAUUCGAAGCAACGCGAAGAACCUUACCUGGGUUUGACAUGUACGGAUUAACCGGUGGAAACACUGGCCACACUCGCAAGAGUGGAACGUACACAGGUGCUGCAUGGCUGUCGUCAGCUCGUGCUGUGAAGUGUCGGGUUUAAGUCCCUUAACGAGCGCAACCCUUGUCGCUAGUUGCUAACAGGUAAUGCUGAGGACUCUAGCGAGACUGCCGGUGUCAAACCGGAGGAAGGCGGGGAUGACGUCAAGUCCUCAUGGCCCUUACAUCCAGGGUUGCAAACGUGCUACAAUGGUGCAUACAGAGCGACGCAAGACCGCAAGGUGGAGCAAAUCGCAAAAAACUGCACCCAC